Long non-coding RNA from Ictalurus punctatus (channel catfish), 538 nucleotides. Lineage: Eukaryota; Metazoa; Chordata; Actinopteri; Siluriformes; Ictaluridae. The record is from Ensembl.
AGGAAAGCCUUAAUUUUUAGAGAACCAUGAAGAGAGCCAGUUAUAAGGGUGGCUGGGUCAAACUGCCCCCCCACCCCUCGAGAUAACGAUAAGACCAAGGUCCCUCCCGGUUGUUUAGUCGUCUUGUCUACGUCAUUUUAUUUCCCUAGGUAAUUGAGAAUCCUGGUUUCUGACCACCUAGGUAAAUGAGAAUCCUGGUUUCUGAUUCUCUGUGUAAUUCAAAACUCUGGGUUUUUAUUUUCUGGGUUAUUAGAAAUGCCUGGGUUCUGAUUCUAUGUGUAAGUGAAAUAGGCCUUUUCUGGAAACAUAUGGGUUAUCUAGUGUGUAAAUACAGUAUAAAUACUGGAGCUUAAGCUCAGGGUAGGGGGAUCACUUUUGAGAAUUCUCAUCGGUGUGGAUCUCGUGUGGUGGAAUGGAACAAUAAAGCUGGACCCUUGCUUCUUCUCACUCACGGCUGGUGUAUUUUUUCUAUCUCCAACUGGGCUCAGAGGUAGAUGCACGGAAGGGACAGCCCCGCGUCAAAACCAACGGCGACCCG